This is a long non-coding RNA of Zonotrichia leucophrys gambelii, 1969 nucleotides long. RefSeq lists it as uncharacterized. The transcript is spliced from 4 exons. Lineage: Eukaryota; Metazoa; Chordata; Aves; Passeriformes; Passerellidae. The record is from RefSeq and is a predicted model, not a curated record.
AAAGCAGGUGAGUCCCGUUAAUCCUCUGCUUUUCCCUGUUGCUGUGGAAGGCCGUGCCUGCCUGAGGUUAUUGCCCUCGGUUCGGGCCUCAGCGGAGCUGUGGGUGUUGCAGUCAUUCCCUCACUGGGAGGUGCCGGUGCUGCUGAGCCUUGCUGCUCUCCCUGAGAGCAAGCCUCUGUUCCUGGCUCUGUGUGAGUGAGUGAGGAGGAGGGGGGCCCGCAGGAACGGACCAAACUAAUUUCUUGGGAAGGAGGCAGGAGCAGCCCUGUCUUCUCUGUGCAGCAUUGGAGCCACUUUCAGUUCUGCUGUGAGACAGCUCUGAGGGCCAGGCUGACCUGCAGCUGCUGCCACGCCAGUGGUCUCUGGCCAGGCUUGAGGACAGCAGAUGCAGUCUGUCAGGUAGGGAAAAAACCCCAAAUCUGACCAUUGCCACAAGCAGUCCUACAGCACCACGCUGACAGCACGAGGGUCAGCUCAGCUCUCUGUCCUGGCUGGGAGCAACAGGGUCCAACAGGACCAGACAGCUUACAAGAGAAAUGAGCAAAACUGACCACAGAAAGAGGGUCAGCAGGCAGCUGGUUUGCAUGGAGGCAAACUCCUAACAAAGUAACAAGCGGUGGGGAGCCAUUUGUUCAUUGUCAUUUCUUGGACAAUUUUGGAAGAUGAGGACAGUUUUUCCCGGCCUAAGGCAAAACGUCUCUGAAAAACUGAAAGGUUGCUGUGCUCUAGGACAGAAGAGUUAAGAGAUUGCCCCACCCACAACUGGGACUGACUUUGGGAAGCAAACCUUGUCUGUGACACUGACUCAUUGUGUGAGUCUCACUGCUUCUUUGUAGUUGACAGCUGGGAAAAAUGGAGAAAAAGAAGAGAGAAAUACCUGAACUCUGAGUGUGGGGUACACCAGGUGUGUUCACCGGUGUGGGUUGGGGUGAUUCCACAGGCAAAGGUUCCCCUGCAGCUGGGCUGAAGGUGGGAACACAUGAGCUCUGCUGGACUACGAGGUCACGUUAUGAGAAAUAACGCUCAAGUUGGUGUGGCACAUGGGCAUGACUGUAAAGUAACUCAGCAGUAUCUGAGCUGGAGCUGCUGUUGGAGAACCUUCUCCAAAGGAAAAUGUCCAAUGUGGUUCUGUAAGACCUGUACCUAUGAACUGGGAAACAACCAAUUGGGAAACAACCCUGAAGGGGCUGGAGAUAUCACAGAGCUGUGUGUGAUGGUCAAAGGCAACAAGCCCCUGCACAGGGAGUGUGGGAAAAUGCCUAUGGCAAUGGGGAGAUUGAUCCCUCCGUACAGAGAGAGACCAUGGCCGUGCCCAGCUCCCUGUCCAUAAUCCAUGGAACUAUAGAGGCCUGGAAAACCCAAGGAGAUGAUUUACGAUCGUGGUGCUCAGCACACUCAGGGGAAGGCUGAGAGGAGGCUGUGUGGGAGCCAGAGCAGCUGGGUUUUUGUAACUUUUUCUUUGCAGACCAGCACAAUUGUCCAGGGGAAGUGCAAGCCCGGGAUAGUGGCUGUUGAUCUCACAGACUUGCUUUGUUUAAUUAUAUUUUGCAGACUGUUUAAUAGGGGCCUGGAGACCCAAAGAACCACCAAGAGCCAGAGGCUGACAACCACCAAAUAUCUCUGUAGGAAGAAGGCAUGUAAAACUUCAGUUUAUUUAAUGGAGCUGAAAAAUGCUCAAAAUAGUAUUUCAUGUGCAUAAUUGGGCAUUGAAGUGACAGACUGUGAGCUCUGGUAAACUUUGCUGUCAUCUGAAGCUCUUUGGUUGGUCAACUCACUUUUGAACCUGGGCAGGUCUUCCUGCUGCUGCCAUUGGUGUUCCAUAUGCUGUGAGGGGUCUGGAGACCUUCAAAAUGUCUGUGCUUUUGACCAGAGACUUCUAAUGCAGGUUUUUGUGUUAAAGCCUUUCACAUAUGGUGUCUCCCAUAGUCCUUCUAAAUAAAAAAUCUCAGCAAGCAGCAGGUGAAACCUU